This is a long non-coding RNA of Lytechinus variegatus (green sea urchin), 483 nucleotides long. RefSeq lists it as uncharacterized. Lineage: Eukaryota; Metazoa; Echinodermata; Echinoidea; Temnopleuroida; Toxopneustidae. The record is from RefSeq and is a predicted model, not a curated record. The transcript has 3 exons.
AACGAGUAGACCUGUUUGGGUUUUCUGUUCAUAGAAUGGACUAGCCUGAAUCGUCUAUAAUAAUACACCGAGGAAUUGAGUGAACACUGAUAACACCGCUUGCACGUCAUACGGAAUAACCCCCUUUGGGAUUAGCAGUAGGACUGUUGUUCUGUAUUGCAGAAAUAUGUAUGUUACAGAUGCUCAGCUAGACGAGCUAUCAGGCUCGAUCCCAUCGUCCCAAUACUUCACUGUCUGUCAGUCGUUGGGUGUACUAACCAAUCAGGGAGCUAUGGUCUUAGAGAUGAGAGGGAACAACUACCAGAAAGCUUUCGGGAUAGUUCUUCGAUUGUGGAAUGAGAGAACUGGAGGAACCCGAACACGUCUCCGUGCAGCCCUGAAGGACGCAGGAGCAGGGGAUCUCAUGAAGGAAUGAAAGCAAUGAUUUACAAUAUUAGGUUAAAGGCGUGUUGCAAUCGUAUAGAUCAAGACGGUUAGAAAGUA